Molecule: transfer RNA, 75 nt
Filed under: Alphaproteobacteria bacterium
Lineage: Bacteria; Pseudomonadati; Pseudomonadota; Alphaproteobacteria
Also listed under: 1 other name
Description: tRNA-Cys
Rfam family: tRNA
About the family: Transfer RNA (tRNA) molecules are approximately 80 nucleotides in length. Their secondary structure includes four short double-helical elements and three loops (D, anti-codon, and T loops).
Source: RNAcentral
GGCCGGAUGGCGAAGUGGUAACGCUGCGGACUGCAAAUCCGCCAUGCGUGGGUUCGAAUCCCACUCCGGCCUCCA